RNAcentral lists this ribosomal RNA (467 nucleotides) under uncultured bacterium. Its description in RNAcentral is "partial 16S ribosomal RNA". It matches the Rfam family "Bacterial small subunit ribosomal RNA", at positions 29 to 507 of the family's 1533-position model. The record is from RNAcentral.
ACGAACGCUGGCGGCGUGCUUCACACAUGCAAGUCGAACGGUGAUGCUCCAGCUUGCUGGCGUGGAUCAGUGGCGAACGGGUGAGUAACACGUGAGCAACCUGCCCCAGACUCUGGAAUAAGCGCUGGAAACGGCGUCUAAUACUGGAUACGAAACUGGCCCGCAUGGGCAUGGUUUGGAAAGUUUUUCGGUUUGGGAUGGGCUCGCGGCCUAUCAGCUUGUUGGUGAGGUAAUGGCUCACCAAGGCGACGACGGGUAGCCGGCCUGAGAGGGCGACCGGCCACACUGGGACUGAGACACGGCCCAGACUCCUACGGGAGGCAGCAGUGGGGAAUAUUGCACAAUGGGCGAAAGCCUGAUGCAGCGACGCCGCGUGAGGGAUGACGGCCUUCGGGUUGUAAACCUCUUUCAGCAGGGAAGAAGCGAAAGUGACGGUACCUGCAGAAGAAGCACCGGCUAACUACGUG